Molecule: small nuclear RNA, 110 nt
Organism: Ochotona princeps (American pika)
Lineage: Eukaryota; Metazoa; Chordata; Mammalia; Lagomorpha; Ochotonidae
Source: RefSeq, a predicted model, not a curated record
GCGCUUGCUUUGGCAGCACAUACAAUAAAACGGGAACGGUACAGAGAAUAUUAGCGUGCUCCCCCAUGUGCAAAGAUGACAUGUAAAUUUGUGAAAUGGUCCCAAUCUUU